Molecule: ribosomal RNA, 305 nt
Filed under: Aeromonas sp. MrichA-1
Lineage: Bacteria; Pseudomonadati; Pseudomonadota; Gammaproteobacteria; Aeromonadales; Aeromonadaceae
Description: bacterial SSU rRNA
Rfam family: Bacterial small subunit ribosomal RNA
Source: RNAcentral
CCUUACGGCCAGGGCUACACACGUGCUACAAUGGCGCGUACAGAGGGCUGCAAGCUAGCGAUAGUGAGCGAAUCCCAAAAAGCGCGUCGUAGUCCGGAUUGGAGUCUGCAACUCGACUCCAUGAAGUCGGAAUCGCUAGUAAUCGCGAAUCAGAAUGUCGCGGUGAAUACGUUCCCGGGCCUUGUACACACCGCCCGUCACACCAUGGGAGUGGGUUGCACCAGAAGUAGAUAGCUUAACCUUCGGGAGGGCGUUUACCACGGUGUGAUUCAUGACUGGGGUGAAGUCGUAACAAGGUAACCCUA